AGUGAACGCUGGCGGUAGGCCUAACACAUGCAAGUCGAACGGCAGCACAGUAAGAGCUUGCUCUUACGGGUGGCGAGUGGCGGACGGGUGAGGCAUACAUCGGAAUCUACUUUUUCGUGGGGGAUAACGUAGGGAAACUUACGCUAAUACAGCAUACGACCUACGGGUGAAAGCAGGGGAUCUUCGGACCUUGCGCGAUUGAAUGAGCCGAUGUCGGAUUAGCUAGUUGGCGGGGUAAAGGCCCACCAAGGCGACGAUCCGUAGCUGGUCUGAGAGGAUGAUCAGCCACACUGGAACUGAGACACGGUCCAGACUCCUACGGGAGGCAGCAGUGGGGAAUAUUGGACAAUGGGCGAAAGCCUGAUCCAGCCAUACCGCGUGGGUGAAGAAGGCCUUCGGGUUGUAAAGCCCUUUUGUUGGGAAAGAAAAGCAGCAGGUUAAUACCCCGCUGUUCUGACGGUACCCAAAGAAUAAGCACCGGCUAACUUCGUG
This 492-nucleotide ribosomal RNA is filed under the name uncultured bacterium. RNAcentral's name for it is "partial 16S ribosomal RNA". It matches the Rfam family "Bacterial small subunit ribosomal RNA", at positions 29 to 507 of the family's 1533-position model. The record is from RNAcentral.